RNAcentral lists this ribosomal RNA (377 nucleotides) under uncultured bacterium. RNAcentral describes it as "bacterial SSU rRNA". It matches the Rfam family "Bacterial small subunit ribosomal RNA", at positions 30 to 409 of the family's 1533-position model. The record is from RNAcentral.
AUUGAACGCUGGCGGCAUGCCUUACACAUGCAAGUCGAACGGCAGCACGGGAGCAAUCCUGGUGGCGAGUGGCGAACGGGUGAGUAAUAUAUCGGAACGUGCCCGGUCGUGGGGAUAACGUAGCGAAAGCUACGCUAAUACCGCAUACGAUCUACGGAUGAAAGCGGGGGAUCGCAAGACCUCGCGCGAUUGGAGCGGCCGAUAUCAGAUUAGGUAGUUGGUGAGGUAAAGGCUCACCAAGCCGACGAUCUGUAGCUGGUCUGAGAGGACGACCAGCCACACUGGGACUGAGACACGGCCCAGACUCCUACGGGAGGCAGCAGUGGGGAAUUUGGACAAUGGGCGCAAGCCUGAUCCAGCAAUGCCGCGUGCAGGAU